UUUAUUGGAGAGUUUGAUCCUGGCUCAGGACGAACGCUGGCGGCGUGCCUAAUACAUGCAAGUCGAGCGGACCUGAAGGAGUGCUUGCACUCCUGAUGGUUAGCGGCGGACGGGUGAGUAACACGUAGGCAACCUGCCCGUAAGACCGGGAUAACUACCGGAAACGGUAGCUAAUACCGGAUAAUCAAGUCUCUCGCAUGAGGGGCUUGGGAAAGGCGGAGCAAUCUGUCACUUACGGAUGGGCCUGCGGCGCAUUAGCUAGUUGGUGGGGUAACGGCUCACCAAGGCGACGAUGCGUAGCCGACCUGAGAGGGUGAACGGCCACACUGGGA
This 332-nucleotide ribosomal RNA is filed under the name Paenibacillus macerans. RNAcentral's name for it is "bacterial SSU rRNA". It matches the Rfam family "Bacterial small subunit ribosomal RNA", at positions 1 to 318 of the family's 1533-position model. The record is from RNAcentral. Lineage: Bacteria; Bacillati; Bacillota; Bacilli; Caryophanales; Paenibacillaceae.